This 325-nucleotide ribosomal RNA is filed under the name Enallagma basidens. Its description in RNAcentral is "partial 12S ribosomal RNA". The record is from RNAcentral. Lineage: Eukaryota; Metazoa; Arthropoda; Insecta; Odonata; Coenagrionidae.
AGUCAAGAAAAUUAAUUAAAUAACUUUACUUACAAAUCCACCUUCAAUUUAAAUUUAAAAUUAAAUAUUCGUAUAAAUAAUAUUAUUGUAACCCAUUAGUACUCCAGACAUAAGCUUCACCUUGACCUGACAUAAUUGUAUUUAACAAUUAAGAAAAUUUAUUCUACAAAAAUAUUCUUAUGACGGAGGUAUAAAAACUGAAAACUAGUCUAAGUGGAUAAAAUCGUGGAAUAUCGAUUAUACAACAGGUUCCUCUGAAUAGAAUAAAAUACCGCCAAAUUCUUUGGGUUUCAAGAACCUAACAAUUACUACCCAAGUGAAAAAU